AUUGAACGCUGGCGGCAGGCUUAACACAUGCAAGUCGAACGGUCUACUUCGGUAGUUAGUGGCGAACGGGUGAGUAAUGCCUAGGAAUCUGCCGUUUAAUGGGGGAUAACUGACCGAAAGGUCUGCUAAUACCGCAUACGCCCUACGGGGGAAAGCAGGGGAUCUUCGGACCUUGCGUUAAACGAUGAGCCUAGGUCGGAUUAGCUAGUUGGUGAGGUAAAGGCUCACCAAGGCGACGAUCUGUAGCGGGUCUGAGAGGAUGAUCCGCCACACUGGAACUGAGACACGGUCCAGACUCCUACGGGAGGCAGCAGUGGGGAAUAUUGGACAAUGGGGGCAACCCUGAUCCAGCCAUGCCGCGUGUGUGAAGAAGGCCUUUUGGUUGUAAAGCACUUUAAGCGAGGAGGAGGCUUUGUGGGUUAAUACCCUGCAAAGUGGACGUUACUCGCAGAAUAAGCAUCGGCUAACUCUGUGCCAGCCGCCGCUGUAA
This 490-nucleotide ribosomal RNA is filed under the name uncultured bacterium. RNAcentral's name for it is "partial 16S ribosomal RNA". It matches the Rfam family "Bacterial small subunit ribosomal RNA", at positions 30 to 523 of the family's 1533-position model. The record is from RNAcentral.